RNAcentral lists this ribosomal RNA (253 nucleotides) under uncultured bacterium. RNAcentral's name for it is "partial 16S ribosomal RNA". It matches the Rfam family "Bacterial small subunit ribosomal RNA", at positions 524 to 776 of the family's 1533-position model. The record is from RNAcentral.
UACAGAGGGGGCAAGCGUUAUUCGGAAUUAUUGGGCGUAAAGGGCGCGUAGGCGGCCUGGCAAGUGGAAGGUGAAAUCCCUCGGCUUAACCGUGGAACUGCCCUCCAAACUGCUUGGCUUGAGUCCGGGAGAGGUGAGUGGAAUUCCCAGUGUAGCGGUGAAAUGCGUAGAUAUUGGGAGGAACACCAGUGGCGAAGGCGGCUCACUGGACCGGAACUGACGCUGAGGCGCGAAAGCGUGGGUAGCAAACAGG